UAUGUCAUGGACGGCACUAUUUUCGCCCCAAAACAAGCUCAAAACAGCUCCAAAAUGCUUCCGGAACAGUCCGGAAUACCCCGGAAGGUCCUGGAAGACUUUAGAAGGCUCUAGAAGACUCUAGAAGACUCUAGAAAAUUCUAGAACACUCUAGAACACUCUAGAAGACUCUAAAAAAAUCUAGAAGACUCUAGAAGACUCUAGAAGACUCUAGAACACUCUAGAAGACUCUAGAAG
RNAcentral lists this long non-coding RNA (237 nucleotides) under Nicotiana benthamiana. RNAcentral describes it as "long non-coding RNA (NBEN_LNC037818)". The record is from RNAcentral. Lineage: Eukaryota; Viridiplantae; Streptophyta; Magnoliopsida; Solanales; Solanaceae.